Molecule: ribosomal RNA, 252 nt
Filed under: uncultured Bacteroidota bacterium
Lineage: Bacteria; Pseudomonadati; Bacteroidota
Description: uncultured Bacteroidetes bacterium partial 16S ribosomal RNA
Rfam family: Bacterial small subunit ribosomal RNA
Source: RNAcentral
CGGAGGAUGCGAGCGUUAUCCGGAUUCAUUGGGUUUAAAGGGUGCGUAGGCGGACUAUUAAGUCAGUGGUGAAAUCCUGCAGCUUAACUGCAGAACUGCCAUUGAUACUGAUAGCCUUGAGUUUGGUUAAGGUAGGCGGAAUGUGUAAUGUAGCGGUGAAAUGCUUAGAUAUUACACAGAACACCAAUUGCGUAGGCAGCUUACUGAGCCGACACUGACGCUGAGGCACGAAAGCGUGGGGAUCGAACAGGA